ACUCAGCCCACAGGACAGAUAUGCAUAAUUACGGGCUCUGAAUACAGCAGGCACUGCGGGGAGCCCUGGCCCUCGGCAGCUCCAGAGAGCAGAGCAAGCUGGCUGGACCCAGCACACAGGUGUCACUGAGGGAGGUGACUUGGCAGAGCGGCCAGGCUCCUCCAUGGCCACUUAUAGCCCUCAGCGUUGCAGGGGUGCUCCUGGACCAGCCUCGUGUGUGUGAGGGGACUCUGGCCACACGUUGCCCCUGCAAAUGCCGCUCUCCCCCCGCGGCCACCCGGCCCCCUCUCGAGGUGCUCCUCAGUGGUGAGGCACUGGCUCUGCCCCCUCCUUGAAGGUCUUGCCUCUGGGCUCUGCCCCCUGGAUGCCAGACCUCCUAAGGACUGCCCCCGACCAGCUGAGCCCAUGCCUCGGGUAGAGAUGUCAGGUGAAAUUGUGGGUUAGACUAACACCACCCAGCCACUUUCCACCUGGGUCCAGGUGUGCCCCCCACCUCGUUUCUGUGGAUUCAGCAGCUCCAUGUCCCUGGCGCUCUGGGUUCCCCCUCGCCAUUACUAUGCUGAUACCGGG
RNAcentral lists this long non-coding RNA (570 nucleotides) under Homo sapiens (human). RNAcentral's name for it is "HSALNT0067843". The record is from RNAcentral. Lineage: Eukaryota; Metazoa; Chordata; Mammalia; Primates; Hominidae.